UACAGAGGGUGCAAGCGUUAAUCGGAAUUACUGGGCGUAAAGCGUGCGCAGGCGGUUUGUUAAGACAGAUGUGAAAUCCCCGGGCUUAACCUGGGAACUGCGUUUGUAACUGGCAAGCUAGAGUGUGGCAGAGGGGGGUGGAAUUCCAAGUGUAGCAGUGAAAUGCGUAGAUAUUUGGAGGAACACCAAUGGCGAAGGCAGCCCCCUGGGUUAACACUGACGCUCAUGCACGAAAGCGUGGGGAGCAAACAGG
Molecule: ribosomal RNA, 253 nt
Filed under: uncultured bacterium
Lineage: Bacteria
Description: partial 16S ribosomal RNA
Rfam family: Bacterial small subunit ribosomal RNA
Source: RNAcentral